GAUGAACGCUGGCGGCGUGCCUAAUACAUGCAAGUCGAGCGAACGGACGAGAAGCUUGCUUUUCUGAUGUUAGCGGCGGACGGGUGAGUAACACGUGGAUAACCUACCUAUAAGACUGGGAUAACUUCGGGAAACCGGAGCUAAUACCGGAUAAUAUUUUGAACCGCAUGGUUCAAAAGUGAAAGACGGUCUUGCCGUCACUUAUAGAUGGAUCCGCGCUGCAUUAGCUAGUUGGUAAGGUAACGGCUUACCAAGGCAACGAUGCAUAGCCGACCUGAGAGGGUGAUCGGCCACACUGGAGCUGAGACACGGUCCAGACUCCUACGGGAGGCAGCAGUAGGGAAUCUUCCGCAAUGGGCGAAAGCCUGACGGAGCAACGCCGCGUGAGUGAUGAAGGUCUUCGGAUCGUAAAACUCUGUUAUUAGGGAAGAACAUAUGUGUAAGUAACUGUGCACAUCUUGACGGUACCUAAUCAGAAAGCCACGGCUAACUACGUG
RNAcentral lists this ribosomal RNA (497 nucleotides) under uncultured bacterium. RNAcentral's name for it is "partial 16S ribosomal RNA". It matches the Rfam family "Bacterial small subunit ribosomal RNA", at positions 28 to 507 of the family's 1533-position model. The record is from RNAcentral.